AGUGAACGCUGGCGGUAGGCCUAACACAUGCCAGUCGAACGGCAGCACAGUAAGAGCUUGCUCUUACGGGUGGCGAGUGGCGGACGGGUGAGGAAUACAUCGGAAUCUACUUUUUCGUGGGGGAUAACGUAGGGAAACUUACGCUAAUACCGCAUACGACCUACGGGUGAAAGCAGGGGAUCUUCGGACCUUGCGCGAUUGAAUGAGCCGCUGUCGGAUUAGCUAGUUGGCGGGGUAAAGGCCCACCAAGGCGACGAUCCGUAGCUGGUCUGAGAGGAUGAUCAGCCACACUGGAACUGAGACACGGUCCAGACUCCUACGGGAGGCAGCAGUGGGGAAUAUUGGACAAUGGGCGCAAGCCUGAUCCAGCCAUACCGCGUGUGUGAAGAAGGCCUUCGGGUUGUAAAGCCCUUUUGUUGGGAAAGAAAAGCAGCAGGUUAAUACCCCGCUGUUCUGACGGUACCCAAAGAAUAAGCACCGGCUAACUUCGUG
Molecule: ribosomal RNA, 492 nt
Filed under: uncultured bacterium
Lineage: Bacteria
Description: partial 16S ribosomal RNA
Rfam family: Bacterial small subunit ribosomal RNA
Source: RNAcentral